RNAcentral lists this microRNA (22 nucleotides) under Petromyzon marinus (sea lamprey). RNAcentral describes it as "pma-miR-204-3p". Its record names the gene pma-miR-204-3p. Lineage: Eukaryota; Metazoa; Chordata; Hyperoartia; Petromyzontiformes; Petromyzontidae. The record is from miRBase by way of RNAcentral.
GGCAAGGACAGCAAAGGGGACC